This 227-nucleotide long non-coding RNA is filed under the name Phoenix dactylifera (date palm). RNAcentral describes it as "long non-coding RNA (PDAC_LNC010948)". The record is from RNAcentral. Lineage: Eukaryota; Viridiplantae; Streptophyta; Magnoliopsida; Arecales; Arecaceae.
GAUUAGAACAUCAACAUCCCCUGUUUCUCCGCAUUGUAACCAUGUCACCUUCUUCCCAGAUUUCUUCGCAACCGCAUCUAUCCCCUGCUCCCAGCUCAUUCUAUGCUUCGGUCAUUCAAGAUCAUCCCUUCAUUACCGUUUAGCAUCCAUCAUCAAAGCCCCAGCUCAUCUCCUCUGUUCACGCUCCCAGCCAGCAAUCUUCUUCCGGAUUCCCUGCAUCCCAAAAC